RNAcentral lists this ribosomal RNA (219 nucleotides) under uncultured bacterium. Its description in RNAcentral is "partial 16S ribosomal RNA". It matches the Rfam family "Bacterial small subunit ribosomal RNA", at positions 328 to 544 of the family's 1533-position model. The record is from RNAcentral.
ACGCUCGACACCUACGGGAGUCAGCAGUGAGGAAUAUUGGUCAAUGGGCGCAGGCCUGAACCAGCCAAGUAGCGUGAAGGAUGACUGCCCUAUGGGUUGUAAACUUCUUUUAUAUGGGAAUAAAGUUUUCCACGUGUGGAAUUUUGUAUGUACCAUAUGAAUAAGGAUCGGCUAACUCCGUGCAGCAGCCGCGGUAAUCUGAGCGGGCGUGGCGAAGGC